RNAcentral lists this long non-coding RNA (274 nucleotides) under Gossypium barbadense (sea-island cotton). RNAcentral describes it as "long non-coding RNA (GBAR_LNC002160)". The record is from RNAcentral. Lineage: Eukaryota; Viridiplantae; Streptophyta; Magnoliopsida; Malvales; Malvaceae.
AAAAAAUGUAGACUUGCAUGUCAAAUUCCCCACUUUAGAGGAAGUGGCCGGCCAUGAUGGUAUGGGAUACAAAAUAUAUGCAUUUUGUAUUAAUAUUAUAAUGACUACAUGGUUUUAUAAUAGGAAAUAAGUAUUAGAAAAAAAAGAAGGCCAUACAUCCUUGCGUUGUUCAUGUGAAUGUUUGAGAAAGAAUGGAGAAAAAUGCUUUGAGGAUUUCGGCAAUGGAGCAAGCUCAAAAUCUAAGGUAGAACAAAAGGGCUCUUUAAUAUUUGGC